GGGGUCCCUCUGGGCCGGAGCCGACGGCAGUGGUGGCAGCGGUACCGCUCCCCAGCUCACUGCGCCCCUUUUCCAGCCCGGACGUCGCCGCGAAAGCGAGGCAGCGGCGGCUGCCCAGAACAGGUGGCCCAGCCUGGUAACCGCUAGAAGCCCUUCACAAACUGCGGCCUGGCAGGCAACCAACCAAAAAACAAACAAAGAAUCCUGACCGAGCAGCGGGCAUCAAGUUCCCUUCGCCGGCAUCUGGGCCCUGGACGCCGGGAAAGGCCUCCGUGUUCCGCUUCCUGCCGCCUUCCACGGUAGGCUUGGCCCAGCCUCCAUCUUCGUCUCUCAGGACGGCUAGCAGCAGAAUUCAUUGUCGGAAGGAAAUAUAAACUGCUUUGGAAGAUCUGGUGUAGCUCCUUCGGAGACAUCUGUCUGGCGAUCAGCAUCACCAACGGUGAAGAAGUGGUAGUGAAGCCAGAAUCUCAGGGCCAGGCAUCCCCAGUUGCUGUACAAGAGCAGGCUUUACAAGAUGCUUCAAGGUGGGGUUGGCAUCCCCCACAUACGGUGGUGUGGUCAGGAAGAAGACUAUAAUGUACUAGUCAUGGAUUUUUCUGGGACCUAGCCUCGAAGACCAAUUUCUGUUCAAGAAGGUUCACAAUGAAAACUGUACUUAUAUUAGCUGACCAGAUGAUCAGUAGAAUUGAACAUGUGCAUACAAAGAAUUUUAUACACAGAGCCAUUAAACCAGGACCCUGAUCCAUCAAUAUGACUACACAUUUGAUUGGACAAAGUUAAAGCAGAAAGCAGCACAGCAGGCAGCCUCUUCUAGUGGGAGGGGCAGCAGGCCCAAACCCCAACAGGGUAUUUAGAGAAAUUCAAUCAGAGACGAUGGAACUAAAGCUGGCCCUUCUGUGCAUACCUGUUUCCUAAAGAAAUGUUUACUCCUGGAUUGGGUCAGCCCCUCUGCAUUUACCUAUAAGAAUCUACAUACAAGCUUGUCUAUCCAUCCUGCAUAGAGCACAAGUCACAGAAGAAAAGCUCCUCUCCAUAAAUUGCUUAACAUAGUAAUCAAUAUCUCUUCACAUUUUCAGAGUAAACUAUAUCACUUGAAUAAACAAAAUGCCAAAGGGUUCACAGUAACAGACUAAUUAGAGCAAUGACAAUGAUUCUAGAAGUCUUCCUGGAAAAGGCAACUAUUUAACUAUGUUGUAUUUAUUCACAUCAGCCCUUUAAACUUUCUCCAUGAUACAUCCAUUUUUGAGGGGAGGGAAAGGUGAGGUUAGGGGUCCCGAGAGACUUAGAGGGAUGAUGGGGUCAGAAGUAUAUUGAGAUGAUUUCACUGGGAAACGGGAGGAUGAGUUUCAGGACAAUAGCUGUGGUUCUGUUUCAAACAGGAUGCAUGGAGAAGACAGAACACCUUCUCAAAUGGGAAGAGAGAGACAGCAAACAUAGCAAAAGACAUAGAAACCCUAAAAGUAACAAAGUACCCGAAGUUAUGUUUACUUUGAAAACACUUACUUACUUAAGUACUAAAACGAGAGAACACUUCAUGUGGACACUGGGUGCAAAUCAUGUCCAUCGAUCUGGAAUUUAUACCCCAGCCUUCUUCCAAAAGUUGGGGGUGUUUGUUUUAACAAAAUUGGUCGUGUGAAUUAUUACAUGUUUUCUCAGUUAUUUCCCCAGGGAAACACGCCAAAGGCAAACCCAUCAUUUCAGCUGAUUUAGUGUUUGAUGCCAGAGAAUUUAUAAUUGAUAUGACAACCAUAAUGGAUAGUGAUCAUGGAGUUGGCAAGGCCUGGCUGACAGUGGUGCAGUCCAUUUUGGUGUUUGCCAGUUAAUCAACCAUCAGACUUGCUCUGAUGAAUUUUGAGGUGAUUUCUGAACUUUCCAUUUCUAACUAACUUUCUGAAUAUUAGAAAUUAGAACCACAUUAUAAAAUGGAAAAGACUACAUAAAUCUUGCGUACCCAAAAUAUGUCUUUUUCAAGUAGCCCUUAAUUAUUCGCUAAUGGAGGGAAUGGAGUUUCUUUUUCCUUGGCAUAGUUCUCAAAGGAUCACAGGGUAACCCAGAGUUCGGUCAGAUGUUUAUCUCAAGGAACAAAGAGAUUUAUGGGUUUUGGAUAUAUAAAAGUCUGCUUAAAAUAAAAAAUUAUUGGAAUUUCA
Long non-coding RNA from Homo sapiens (human), 2147 nucleotides. Lineage: Eukaryota; Metazoa; Chordata; Mammalia; Primates; Hominidae. The record is from Ensembl.